RNAcentral lists this ribosomal RNA (253 nucleotides) under uncultured bacterium. RNAcentral describes it as "partial 16S ribosomal RNA". It matches the Rfam family "Bacterial small subunit ribosomal RNA", at positions 524 to 776 of the family's 1533-position model. The record is from RNAcentral.
UACGUAGGGUGCGAGCGUUAAUCGGAAUUACUGGGCGUAAAGCGUGCGUAGGCGGUUUCUGAAGUCCGCUGUGAAAGCCCCGGGCUUAACCUGGGAAUGGCAGUGGAAACUAGGGGACUUGAAUCUGGCAGAGGGGGGUGGAAUGCCGCGUGUAGCAGUGAAAUGCGUAGAGAUGCGGCGGAACACCGAUGGCGAAGGCAGCCCCCUGGGCUGAGAUUGACGCUGAGGCACGAAAGCGUGGGGAGCAAACAGG